RNAcentral lists this long non-coding RNA (1809 nucleotides) under Ananas comosus (pineapple). RNAcentral describes it as "long non-coding RNA (ACOM_LNC009284)". The record is from RNAcentral. Lineage: Eukaryota; Viridiplantae; Streptophyta; Magnoliopsida; Poales; Bromeliaceae.
GCGUCUACCAAAACCAUACUAGAAGAGUAACAAUCAAUAGAGGAGACUAACAUGGUAUCAGAAUAUAGAAUUUACAAAAUGUAUUAAACGUACUAAAAGCUAAAGUAUAACAAAAACAAACUCCACUAAAGUCAACAGAAAGUAAGAGUAUAAAACUGUAAAGUACAACUCUCCAACAACCCAUAUACAUCACAUGGUCACAAAAUAGCUAUAUAUACAUGUGAUAGUCUCUCUAUACAUAAGUCAUCACCGUCGUCAACAAACUCAAAACAGCAAGGUUAUCACCUAGCGGGACUCUAAGCUAUGCCUAACUAGACGCGACUUCCUUGCCGCGAUCCCUAGCCUCUCCCGCAGUGGAUGGCUCUGUAAAUAAAACAACAACAAAUAGGGCGUGAGAACUAUUAGUCAAUAAUUCCCAGUGGGUAAGCCGCCGACCUCAGCGAAUUACACCACUAGGUUCAAAACGUAAAAAGAAAAACCAUGUACAACUACAACAUGAUAGGGAUAACAAUGAUAAUAAGCAACUAAUGAGUAAUAGAACUACUAUAUUUCCAAGGCAACAACUAUAAUGCAACAGGUAAAGUAACUACUCUACACAGGUAAGCAUGCUAUAUCAUCUCAUAAAUGCACACUAUCUAGUAGUGAUCAUUAUAUCAAUACAAUUUAGUAUCUUGUUCAAUUCAUAAGGAGCUACACAAGGUAGUCCGGCUUAUGCCACGCCUAAUGGCCACGUGGUAGUAUGCACUCCCCACGGUAAUCCACUUCAACAUCCAAUCCCGCAUGGGCGAGCACAAUAUCGCGUAGGCCAACUCCGGAGUGCCUGCUUGUGGGGAGCGACCCUCACAAGCAUGUGCGAAUGAGCACAAUGGUAAGCAAGCAUGAUCCAUAGUAUAAAGUCCUCAAUCGUCAUGUCUCAAACAUGAAAUAUCCUCUACCGACCUAUAGGUCAGGAUCUAAGUACAAUAUCAGGUGCUAUUAUCAACUAGAUCAUAGCUAGUAACAUGAAGUACAUGCUAGUUUUAUCAAUUAGAUGCCAAGUUUAACUUGUCUACAUAAGUAUUUUGACCACUUUCUAAUACAUGUUUCAUAUGUUCAAUACAUGUACAAUACCCACUAGGUUAUAAUAACAACAUAUCAUUCUUGCUAGUCUAAGCAUAGUAUACUCGUUCACAACUUGCCUAUACAAGUAUAUGCGUUAUUAUGCAAGGAAUUUAACCUCUUUAGCUCUCUAUCAUAUAGAGGAUAACCUGCCAUAUGAUGUAAAUAUGUUACUAGUACAUCCAACAAUUCACUUACGAUACCGUUAGCGAAACAUAGGCAUAAUUCUAGCUCUAUGCCAAGAAUAAGAAUAUAGGGAGAAUUCACCCAUUUCGGUGAGGUCAAACCCACCAAAUUGUCGACGACUCUCGUCGAUUUCGCGAGCGAAGAUGUUCACUAGUCUCCAAGCACCUUAACAAGCAUACUAAUUAAGUUAGAAGCUUGGAUUUAACCUUUACAAAAAAACUCACAUAAACAUUUAACCUAGGUAGAAUCAUACCUAGCAUAGAAUCUAAACUUGAACUCCACUUCAAUUUAGGUUAGAACACACCAAAGCCAACCUUCCAAUGAUCACAAAUCUCAACCCAAAAGGAUCCAAUAACCUGCUGUGAACCAAUACACAUAAACUCCUUCAAUACUACUACCAACACAUCAAACUAGUAGAAAAGUUAGCUAGUUCACCUUUUACAGCUUUAACUCAGUUUCUACUGCGUUAGGAUUGAAGAACCAUAGCCAAACACUUCUUCUACAGCUGCUACAAGCCUCCCCAAA